GGGUUGUGAGGUUAAGCGACUAAGCGUACACGGUGGAUGCCCUGGCAGUCAGAGGCGAUGAAGGACGUGCUAAUCUGCGAUAAGCGUCGGUAAGGUGAUAUGAACCGUUAUAACCGGCGAUUUCCGAAUGGGGAAACCCAGUGUGAUUCGUCACACUAUCAUUAACUGAAUCCAUAGGUUAAUGAGGCGAACCGGGGGAACUGAAACAUCUAAGUACCCCGAGGAAAAGAAAUCAACCGAGAUUCCCCCAGUAGCGGCGAGCGAACGGGGAGGAGCCCAGAGCCUGAAUCAGUGUGUGUGUUAGUGGAAGCGUCUGGAAAGGCGCGCGAUACAGGGUGACAGCCCCGUACACAAAAAUGCACAUACUGUGAGCUCGAUGAGUAGGGCGGGACACGUGGUAUCCUGUCUGAAUAUGGGGGGACCAUCCUCCAAGGCUAAAUACUCCUGACUGACCGAUAGUGAACCAGUACCGUGAGGGAAAGGCGAAAAGAACCCCGGCGAGGGGAGUGAAAAAGAACCUGAAACCGUGUACGUACAAGCAGUGGGAGCACGCUUCGGCGUGUGACUGCGUACCUUUUGUAUAAUGGGUCAGCGACUUAUAUUCUGUAGCAAGGUUAACCGAAUAGGGGAGCCGAAGGGAAACCGAGUCUUAACUGGGCGUUAAGUUGCAGGGUAUAGACCCGAAACCCGGUGAUCUAGCCAUGGGCAGGUUGAAGGUUGGGUAACACUAACUGGAGGACCGAACCGACUAAUGUUGAAAAAUUAGCGGAUGACUUGUGGCUGGGGGUGAAAGGCCAAUCAAACCGGGAGAUAGCUGGUUCUCCCCGAAAGCUAUUUAGGUAGCGCCUCGUGAAUUCAUCUCCGGGGGUAGAGCACUGUUUCGGCAAGGGGGUCAUCCCGACUUACCAACCCGAUGCAAACUGCGAAUACCGGAGAAUGUUAUCACGGGAGACACACGGCGGGUGCUAACGUCCGUCGUGAAGAGGGAAACAACCCAGACCGCCAGCUAAGGUCCCAAAGUCAUGGUUAAGUGGGAAACGAUGUGGGAAGGCCCAGACAGCCAGGAUGUUGGCUUAGAAGCAGCCAUCAUUUAAAGAAAGCGUAAUAGCUCACUGGUCGAGUCGGCCUGCGCGGAAGAUGUAACGGGGCUAAACCAUGCACCGAAGCUGCGGCAGCGACACUAUGUGUUGUUGGGUAGGGGAGCGUUCUGUAAGCCUGCGAAGGUGGCCUGUGAGGGUUGCUGGAGGUAUCAGAAGUGCGAAUGCUGACAUAAGUAACGAUAAAGCGGGUGAAAAGCCCGCUCGCCGGAAGACCAAGGGUUCCUGUCCAACGUUAAUCGGGGCAGGGUGAGUCGACCCCUAAGGCGAGGCCGAAAGGCGUAGUCGAUGGGAAACAGGUUAAUAUUCCUGUACUUGGUGUUACUGCGAAGGGGGGACGGAGAAGGCUAUGUUGGCCGGGCGACGGUUGUCCCGGUUUAAGCGUGUAGGCUGGUUUUCCAGGCAAAUCCGGAAAAUCAAGGCUGAGGCGUGAUGACGAGGCACUACGGUGCUGAAGCAACAAAUGCCCUGCUUCCAGGAAAAGCCUCUAAGCAUCAGGUAACAUCAAAUCGUACCCCAAACCGACACAGGUGGUCAGGUAGAGAAUACCAAGGCGCUUGAGAGAACUCGGGUGAAGGAACUAGGCAAAAUGGUGCCGUAACUUCGGGAGAAGGCACGCUGAUAUGUAGGUGAAGCGACUUGCUCGUGGAGCUGAAAUCAGUCGAAGAUACCAGCUGGCUGCAACUGUUUAUUAAAAACACAGCACUGUGCAAACACGAAAGUGGACGUAUACGGUGUGACGCCUGCCCGGUGCCGGAAGGUUAAUUGAUGGGGUUAGCGGUAACGCGAAGCUCUUGAUCGAAGCCCCGGUAAACGGCGGCCGUAACUAUAACGGUCCUAAGGUAGCGAAAUUCCUUGUCGGGUAAGUUCCGACCUGCACGAAUGGCGUAAUGAUGGCCAGGCUGUCUCCACCCGAGACUCAGUGAAAUUGAACUCGCUGUGAAGAUGCAGUGUACCCGCGGCAAGACGGAAAGACCCCGUGAACCUUUACUAUAGCUUGACACUGAACAUUGAGCCUUGAUGUGUAGGAUAGGUGGGAGGCUUUGAAGUGUGGACGCCAGUCUGCAUGGAGCCGACCUUGAAAUACCACCCUUUAAUGUUUGAUGUUCUAACGUUGACCCGUUGAUCCGGGUUGCGGACAGUGUCUGGUGGGUAGUUUGACUGGGGCGGUCUCCUCCUAAAGAGUAACGGAGGAGCACGAAGGUUGGCUAAUCCUGGUCGGACAUCAGGAGGUUAGUGCAAUGGCAUAAGCCAGCUUGACUGCGAGCGUGACGGCGCGAGCAGGUGCGAAAGCAGGUCAUAGUGAUCCGGUGGUUCUGAAUGGAAGGGCCAUCGCUCAACGGAUAAAAGGUACUCCGGGGAUAACAGGCUGAUACCGCCCAAGAGUUCAUAUCGACGGCGGUGUUUGGCACCUCGAUGUCGGCUCAUCACAUCCUGGGGCUGAAGUAGGUCCCAAGGGUAUGGCUGUUCGCCAUUUAAAGUGGUACGCGAGCUGGGUUUAGAACGUCGUGAGACAGUUCGGUCCCUAUCUGCCGUGGGCGCUGGAGAACUGAGGGGGGCUGCUCCUAGUACGAGAGGACCGGAGUGGACGCAUCACUGGUGUUCGGGUUGUCAUGCCAAUGGCACUGCCCGGUAGCUAAAUGCGGAAGAGAUAAGUGCUGAAAGCAUCUAAGCACGAAACUUGCCCCGAGAUGAGUUCUCCCUGACUCCCUGAGAGUCCUGAAGGAACGUUGAAGACGACGACGUUGAUAGGCCGGGUGUGUAAGCGCAGCGAUGCGUUGAGCUAACCGGUACUAAUGAACCGUGAGGCUUAACCUUACAACGCCGAAG
RNAcentral lists this ribosomal RNA (2927 nucleotides) under Escherichia coli. RNAcentral's name for it is "bacterial LSU rRNA". It matches the Rfam family "Bacterial large subunit ribosomal RNA". The record is from RNAcentral. Lineage: Bacteria; Pseudomonadati; Pseudomonadota; Gammaproteobacteria; Enterobacterales; Enterobacteriaceae.